GCGCCGGUGGCGGAACAGGUAGACGCGCCAGGUUGAGGGCCUGGUGGGCGAAUAGCCCUUGGGAGUUCGAGUCUCCCCCGGCGCACCA
This 88-nucleotide transfer RNA is filed under the name Nevskiaceae bacterium. Its description in RNAcentral is "tRNA-Leu". It matches the Rfam family "tRNA". Rfam says of the family: Transfer RNA (tRNA) molecules are approximately 80 nucleotides in length. Their secondary structure includes four short double-helical elements and three loops (D, anti-codon, and T loops). Further hydrogen bonds mediate the characteristic L-shaped molecular structure. tRNAs have two regions of fundamental functional importance: the anti-codon, which is responsible for specific mRNA codon recognition, and the 3' end, to which the tRNAs corresponding amino acid is attached (by aminoacyl-tRNA synthetases). tRNAs cope with the degeneracy of the genetic code in two manners: having more than one tRNA (with a specific anti-codon) for a particular amino acid; and 'wobble' base-pairing, i.e. permitting non-standard base-pairing at the 3rd anti-codon position. Lineage: Bacteria; Pseudomonadati; Pseudomonadota; Gammaproteobacteria; Nevskiales; Nevskiaceae. The record is from RNAcentral.